Non-coding RNA from Podarcis lilfordi (Lilford's wall lizard), 75 nucleotides. The record is from the annotation of a GenBank genome assembly. Lineage: Eukaryota; Metazoa; Chordata; Lepidosauria; Squamata; Lacertidae.
UCUCUCUCUCUCUCUCUCUCUCUCUCUGUGUGUGUGUGUGUGUGUGUGAGAGAGAGAGAGAGAGAGAGAGAGAGG